GGCCGCGGGAAUUCGAUUCAGGCCUAACACAUGCAAGUCGAACGAUGAAGCUGGAGCUUGCUCCGGUGGAUUAGUGGCGAACGGGUGAGUAACACGUGAGCAAUCUGCCCUUGACUCUGGGAUAACUGCGGGAAACUGUAGCUAAUACCGGAUACGACACCUUGGGGCAUCCCAGGGUGUGGAAAGAAUUUCGGUCAAGGAUGAGCUCGCGGCCUAUCAGCUUGUUGGUGAGGUAAUGGCUCACCAAGGCGACGACGGGUAGCCGGCCUGAGAGGGUGACCGGCCACACUGGAACUGAGACGCGGUCCAGACUCCUACGGGAGGCAGCAGUGGGGAAUAUUGCACAAUGAGGGAAAGCCUGAUGCAGCAACGCCGCGUGAGGGAUUUCAACGGUCGGGUUGUAGACCUCUUCAGCAGGGAAUAAGCGAAAGGAA
Molecule: ribosomal RNA, 434 nt
Filed under: uncultured bacterium
Lineage: Bacteria
Description: bacterial SSU rRNA
Rfam family: Bacterial small subunit ribosomal RNA
Source: RNAcentral